This is a long non-coding RNA of Aphis gossypii (cotton aphid), 400 nucleotides long. RefSeq lists it as uncharacterized. Lineage: Eukaryota; Metazoa; Arthropoda; Insecta; Hemiptera; Aphididae. The record is from RefSeq and is a predicted model, not a curated record. The transcript has 2 exons.
CACACAUAAAUAUACUUGGAUAUAUAUAUAUGCUUGUGUAUGUGUGUAGGUCGGUAUAUUUAUUACAAUAAUAUCAUUAUUCCAUAGCUGUUAUCUAGGGGUUCUCAAAUUCCGCGUACAGGACGUAUGGUUCAGGCAGGCACACAUUCAGCGUUGCCAACCUCUUUUGCUUGUCGUACUAUUCUAGCUUACAGCUUACUACAAAUUGGAACUUCGGACUUAAGGAGUCAGUUCUAUAGAUCUAUAGAAGUAUCGAGUAUACUAAGUAUGGUGCUCAAGUAUCUAACGAAAAAUAUGUUCGAGCAUAGCGCAUACAUUCAGACCAUUCAAUGCUUCUACUCUGAUUCGGUCGGACUCACAGAUAAUGAAAGAAAAUACCAUGAGAGAAAUGGGAAAUGGG